CACGGGGAGCCGGUGUAACCGAGCUGAGAGUGGACUUUAAGUCCUGACCCGAUGAACCUGUACGGAUAAUGCCGGCGAAGGGAGUUGAUUAUUUA
Molecule: non-coding RNA, 95 nt
Filed under: uncultured Saccharofermentans sp.
Lineage: Bacteria; Bacillati; Bacillota; Clostridia; Eubacteriales; Oscillospiraceae
Source: RNAcentral